UUUUCUUUUCUCCCUUCGCCUUCUCUCUUUAGCAAUUUCCUUCUCUCAAUGAAAAUAAAAGAAUCUUAGAAAUUGGUUGUGGCUAAAUGUUUAUGGGGAUUGAGCUACUUUUAUGAGGGAAUUUUUGAUACAAGUUGAAAGAGAUUUGGUUAAAGAUUUUGGGCGAGAAGCUAGGUUUUUGCCUAAGUUCUUGGCAGUGAAAUCAGUCAAGGUUUGAUGAUGUUUCCCUUUGAAUAGAUGGCGAACGGAUGAAAUUCAAGAGGUAUUAUUAGAGUUCUAUAGGGAUAAACAUUGAGUCUUUGUCUGGAUACAAAUUCGUAAGGGUUUUGAACUCUUAAAUCAGCGGGAAAACAGCCGAAUUGCGAGCCGUUGACGAUGGUUUAUGGUGACAAUUGUCUAGGAUUAUUAAUAUCUUGGAGUUUAUGGUUGGUUAGGAACUUGGGUCUGUUCCUAAUUCGAAUUUGCAGAGAUGGAGAAUGUAAAGGGCUUAGAAUGCAAUACCAAGGAUGUCUCACCCUCUCCAGUUUCAUGCAUGCAAACUGUUUGAUAAAAAUCCUGGAAGAAGACUUAUUUGUCUUUGAUACUAGCAUCUUGAGUAUGGGCGAGUUUCUCAAAAUAAUUUGAAGAUCCAGUUACUUGAGUGGCGUAUCGGAGAGUUGGAGUUUGCUAAGCGGGCCGAAACCCAUUUCGCUGGAAGUCCAAAUUUUCUGAUCCAUUACAAGUUUCGUCUUGUACCAACAUAGUUUAUGGAGAUCUCAUUGUUUGAGGUACAUCUUCCUCUUCAGGUGCAACUAGUUCAUUGGUAUUAGAUUGACCAAAGAUUUCAUUAGUAUUAGAUUGACCAAAGAUUUUAGAUAUGGUGGCUUUUUCUGGAAUUGCCACAUUUUGAUUUCUUUUUUCGUGGAACUGAAUCUUCUGCACCAAGAGGUCUUCCAGGAUGCUUUAAGCAUGUUUUGGACUUAUCAUGAUGUCCAUCUGGGAUAUUGACUCUUGCUGGAGUGUUUGCAGCAGGUAUAUGUGAUUUUGUUACCCUACCUGUAUUAGUAAAUGCACCAGGCAUUUGAUUUGCAAUAUUUUUCAAAUGUAUGAUUCUUUGAACCUCAAGUUCACAUUGUUUUGUACGAGGAUCAAAUUGGGCUAAUGAUGGUGUAUUCCAUAAAA
Long non-coding RNA from Papaver somniferum (opium poppy), 1161 nucleotides. RefSeq lists it as uncharacterized. NCBI's taxonomy places the organism in Eukaryota, Viridiplantae, Streptophyta, Magnoliopsida, Ranunculales, Papaveraceae. The record is from RefSeq and is a predicted model, not a curated record. The transcript has 2 exons.